UUAAGUCCACUAAAGGGCCGUGGAAGACUACCACGUUGAUAGGCAGGGUGUGUAAGCGUUGUGAGGCGUUGAGCUAACCUGUACUAAUGACCCGUGAGGCUUAACCAUACAACACCCAAUGGGUUU
This 126-nucleotide ribosomal RNA is filed under the name Ferrimonas aestuarii. RNAcentral's name for it is "Ferrimonas sp. IMCC35002 partial 23S ribosomal RNA". The stretch from base 1 to 108 matches the Rfam family "Bacterial large subunit ribosomal RNA", at positions 2818 to 2925 of the family's 2925-position model. The record is from RNAcentral. Lineage: Bacteria; Pseudomonadati; Pseudomonadota; Gammaproteobacteria; Alteromonadales; Ferrimonadaceae.